CAAAAAAAAAAGAACAAAUAGCCUUGUGUAAUGGGAAUAAACACCACGGCUGGAACAAAUCUUUGACUAAUCAAGUUUCUUGGAUGAAAACCAUGAUAUAAAAAUAUGGCAAUGACAGAUGCCUUCUGUUUUUCUGUGCCAAUAUUUACAUGUCAUGAAAGCUGACUGACAUGUUGCCAGGCCAGGUGAAUGUUUUUAUAAAGCUGCAUAUAUUUCCUUCAUACUGUGCCCUGACAGGAGGUGAUGGGGGAGAAAAGAAAAAGAAAAAAAAAGGAGACUGAGAGAGAAAGCAGGAGUACAGUGGAUAACUAUGACUGGCCCAUUAACAGGGCUGGUUGUCAGUGUCAGCGGGCUCAGCUGCGGACAGUGGGCAACAGUUGCAGAGGAACAUUGUUAAAAAGGAGCAGCACUGUCAGAUCUGGACAUUCUCCUAAAGUGUACAUGGCUGAGGUCACAGGGCGCAUGGUUAACACUAGCAGAAGAGAAUAACAAGUCCGGUGCUUUGUACAGAUUGACUCUGAAGACUGUCCCUAUGUGAAUAUCAAACCUCUACCAUGACAAAUAGGCAAAGAGGGCGAGGGAUGAAGGGCCAGGCGAGAGUUGCGAAAAGAGGCAAAGCACGAGUGAAUUGAUGGAAAGAGGUUGCGAGGAGGGUGGGUGAGAGAGCAAGAGGAUGUGAGGCAGAUGGAGCGAGGUGACAGUGCAGGGAGAGAGAAAGAAAGAGACAGAAAAGGGGAAGGUUUGUGUUUAAUUAGCGGCCCUGGAGAGUGUCUUGGUUGAGCCAAGGAGGAACAUGGGAUGUUCUCUAAUUGGCCCUGCUCUGUGGAGAGGGAGGGAAGGAGGGAGGAAAAGCUAGAUAGAGAGAAGACAGACACAAGAGGGAGGAGGAGAAAAGGAGGAAUGACUGGACUUUUGUCUGGUUGGCUGCAUGUUUAUUUGGGGAAAGUGUUCUGCAGAGGGUCAAGGAGAAACUUGGUUGCCAUGACACGCAACAAAGAGGAGAGGAGAGAAAGCUCAGAGGAUAUGAAUAAGGGAGCAGGAGAGAUGGAUGAGGGGAGUGGGGAGAGGCAGGAGAGAGACAGAGAUGGAUGGAGUGAGGAGUCUAGCUGUACAGGGGCAGAACUACGGAGAGAGACAAUUCACAGAUGCACAGAGGAGAUCUGGGAGAGGCUUUGGAAAAAUGACAAGUCAAGAAGUCGGGGAAGGAGGGAUAAUGAGCAAAGACAGAGAGGAAGGAGUGCGUGUUUGUGUGGGAAAGGGAGACUGAGGCCAAGAGGGAGACUUGGAAAGAAAAGGGAAGUUUAUUAGAGAGAAUUCGGAGAGAGGAGUAAGAGAGAAAUGCAAAAAUAUGGUUGAUUCGGGAAAAGCAGUGACAAUAACUGAGACAGAGAGGAAAAGAGAAACAAACUGAGACUCUACAGGGAGAAGGGAGGGUCCAGAAACAAAUCAGGCCAGCUCAGCACGUUCUUCUUCAUCCAACCCAUUUAGGAUGGUGGCAUUAUUCUAACCAUAGCCUCAAUCGAUACUUGUGACAGCAUAUUGGUGAUCAAUCAAAGUGUCAGGACAGAAUUGAUCAUGCUCAGUCAAAUGUGACAUAAACAAGGCCUUGCGAUCGAUACGAUGUUAGUGUAUUCAGUCCAAGACAAACACUCUGUAUCUCAAUUAACUGCUCAUUUCGCAACUGUAUACUUUGAUAAAGAGAGUCAUUUAUGCACACCUGAAUGUCUUGAAGCACCCACCGGCCAAAAAGAUUCAAUAAGUAUAUCGUAAACUUGUAUUGUUAACAAAAUUGCAUUUUAUAUAUACGUUUAUACCCCAAGAAGAAUGCAAAUUGAUCUAUCGCUUGUUUUCUUUUUGUUUUUCCUGUCAGGUGUACAGGGGGGAAAAGAGAAAAUUACCACAAAUGAGUACAAAGAAACAUAUACACCAGAAGCAUUAAAGUUUAAGUGAGCACCUUAUUGAGGAGACAAUCAACAGAGAAAAAAGGAUCUAGGGAGUUUUUUUUUCCCCCUGCAAAGUUAAUAACACAGCACAUCACAGCAAAACAAUCAGAUAGUGAAGAGCCACAAGAGGUGCCUUAAUUAUAGGUAAGAGCUAAUUAUGCUAGAUUGAAGUUAUGCUUGCUGCACAGAUGUCACCAUAUAAUGAGAUAGAGUGGAGUGAGGGUCAGGAAGAGGUGCAUAAGGCAAUGGACCACACAUCUUGAUGCAGAGGUCACACCAGAUCCAAACGCAGAUUUAAAAUCUUCAUUAAAGCUCUGAUAAUUGUGCAGUCCAUUGGAUGUAAAUGAGGCUUGAAGAUCGAUAACCCAACGCUGGGUUCAGUCUAAUGGAGAAAAGAGUGACGGUGAUACAUGGUUAUAACUACGCUGCUUCGCAUUACGGAUAACCCUUGCUAACCCUGUGUACCUGCUACACCUGCAAUUAAAUGAUAAUGCCUAUGGGAGAGAGAGUGAGAGAGAGUCUCGCCGCUCAAAGCACAGAUGCUUCUAUCAUAACUAAAUGAUACUCUGUCUGACCUCGGGUGUAGCUAGCCACGGCGCAUUGGGAGCUUUCGGAGCUGUAAUGCACCAUUAUGAUAUCGAACGGUCGAUAGCUUCCCCCCAAACUCCUACCCCUACCCCCACACAAACCCCCUCUGCUCCUUCUCCUUCCAAUCUAUUCAGUGCUGAUGCAUCGAAUAGGAGAGUCCAGGAAGGAGUUGAAACCCCUGAGGAGAAAGCAGAAUGGCUAAAUUGACCAGAUUACUGAGACUAAUUGGUCCAAUCCUGAGGAACUGGCUCAUUAAGGUGUGUGAGGAGAUAACGAAGCAUGCUACAGAGGGCAGGAGAAAUAUGUGAAUAAACAUAUGCAAACACCAUGCAAAGUACACAACGAGAGUAUGCAUGUAUGCACAAAUAUACACAUUCAAUAUGCACACGCAUAUUUGUACAGAUAAUGUUCAUCUCGAUGCACACACUCACACUCAUAGAGGGUUUACUGGAAAAUGAUAAGCUCCCUGAUUAACUCCCAAUUUACAGCUUGGCACAGCUUGUAUUAAAGCUGCUCAAAUUAAUGUCUUUAUAUUAACAAUGGAUGAAAUGACUAUGUGCACUGUAAAAGGGAGUCACGUGUAGUGAUGAACCCAACUUCGGUUCACCUCAGUUCUGCAGAGAUUUUUAGUGUCUCUCAGCUCAUUGUUUUGUUUUUAUGUCUACCGUUUCGGUUCACUCCCACCACUCUUAUCAGUGUAAUUCCCAGACACAGCAGGCAGCUGUUUAUUUGUGAGAAAGCUCUGAUAAACCUGCUAAACCUCCUGCCCAGCACUAAACAGCAGACAGAAGUUAGUGACUAGCUGAUGAACAUAGUGGAGCAUUUAGCAGCUAAAGAGUCUGAUAUUUUAAUCAAGAGUCAGUGGAGAGCAAAACCAGGGCUAAAGGAGAAUAUAUUUGUUAGGUGGCCAGAAGCGCAACUCCAAAUUAAUGCUAUAGUCACUCCAUAUCUCCUCAUCUGGGCAACUGUUUGCUAGAUAGAUUGUUCACCAUACCAACUUUAUAAGUGACUUUGUCAAUGUUGUGUUUACAGCUUUAUGUGCUGCCCCCCCGAGUGGCAAAUAUAUAGUAGGUUUAACGAGAUCUUUUUUAAAGUUUCACCCAAACUACAAAAACACAUUUUCCCACUUCCUGCUAACUGAGAUUUCUGCCUCCACUCCAACUAUAACUAUUUUUUUGCUAAUGAAACGGUCCGUUAAUUUAAAACUUUUAAGUAUCAAAAACUUUAGAGACUUUUAAAUGCUGUCAGCACCAAAACCUAGGAAAAACUAUUUGCAUGGCUACAGUAGAUACCCCCGGCAAGUGGUUAGUUUUUUUCAUAAUUUAGGUGAACUGACAACAAUCGGCUGUUCUGAAGGUUGACAGACACAGACAAUAGAUAAUUAAUUGGAUAGAUGUUUGGGGGGAGCAAAAUGCCAAAAGAAGGAAAGAGGUGUGUGUUUCCUCGUGCUGAAGGCCUCCAUCGCUUCAUCGCCCCUUCACUCCACAGGCCAUCCCUCCAUCACAGAGUGAGAGAGGGGAACGGACAGCGUUGCCUGAAGCCAACAGAGCAGUAGAGCGAGCACAGGAGAGAAAGUGAGAAAGCGAAAGCAAAGGCGGUGGGGGUAGAGGAAGGCAGAGCCAGGUGUGGAAGAGAGGAAUACAGACAUAGAGCAAGAGAGAGACACAAAUGCUACCCAGAGAAGUUGUCCUCCCCUCUGGUUAUCCUCCAUCACCCUGCCUGUGUUUUCUCCAUCCCUGUGACUUCCUUCAUGGCCCUUUGGCUCCGUGACCCCCGUGUCGGCUGCCAUUUCUCAGCCCGACCCUGUCACUCUCCUCCCGGCUCACAUGCAACCCACAUUGGAGGGUCGAGUGUCGUCAGCGGAGCUUGAACCUCACACCAUUGUUGUAAGACAGAGCAGAUCCUGUGACGGACUAAAUGUGACAGUUGAGCUGCUGACCUUUGGUCCGGAGACAACAGACAGAAACCGGCAGCCGGAGCAGCAUCACCCAUGCACACAUGACACACAAGACAAGACACACACUCACUCAUUCAGUUGUAUUGUGUGUAAAUGUGUGUACAAUUAUGUCAUGCGGUCGAUUGAAUUGUAGUAAUCCCAUAUGUUUUUGUUAUAGAUGUGUACAAGGCAUAUAUGCAUAUGAUAUAUGUAAAAAUAUUUCAAAUUAAAAAGAUGUUGAGGUCUC
Molecule: long non-coding RNA, 4714 nt
Organism: Thunnus maccoyii (southern bluefin tuna)
Lineage: Eukaryota; Metazoa; Chordata; Actinopteri; Scombriformes; Scombridae
Exons: 2
Source: RefSeq, a predicted model, not a curated record